GACGAACGCUGGCGGCGUGCUUAACACAUGCAAGUCGAACGGAAAGGCCCUGCUUUUGUGGGGUGCUCGAGUGGCGAACGGGUGAGUAACACGUGAGUAACCUGCCCUUGACUUUGGGAUAACUUCAGGAAACUGGGGCUAAUACCGGAUAGGAGCUCCUGCUGCAUGGUGGGGGUUGGAAAGUUUCGGCGGUUGGGGAUGGACUCGCGGCUUAUCAGCUUGUUGGUGGGGUAGUGGCUUACCAAGGCAUUGACGGGUAGCCGGCCUGGGAGGGUGACCGGCGACAUUGGGACUGAGAUACGGCCCAGACUCCUACGGGAGGCAGCAGUGGGGAAUAUUGCACAAUGGGCGGAAGCCUGAUGCAGCAACGCCGCGUGCGGGAUGACGGCCUUCGGGUUGUAAACCGCUUUCGCCUGUGACGAAGCGUGAGUGACGGUAAUGGGUAAAGAAGCACCGGCUAACUACGUG
RNAcentral lists this ribosomal RNA (468 nucleotides) under uncultured bacterium. RNAcentral's name for it is "partial 16S ribosomal RNA". It matches the Rfam family "Bacterial small subunit ribosomal RNA", at positions 28 to 507 of the family's 1533-position model. The record is from RNAcentral.